UUCAAUUUCACUUUUUUGGACUGGACCAUAGUGAUAUGGUGGAAUACUAGGAGGUUUAACCCCUGGAAAUAAUGGAUUAUGGUGAUCAUGUGCACGCGGUGGUGGUAGGGUGGUAGGAACCAUGAACACCCCCGUAAAUUUGUGCAACAAUUCCUGCAAUCCACCUAAUUGCUGAGGUGACAGAUUAGAGGCCUCCAUUUUUCCCCCUUCCAAGGAAUAAAGUAAGAUGCUUAGGUUGGAUGAAGGGAAUUGUUUCUCAAUGUUAUGGCAAAAAGUCGCUUGUAACUAGGAGUUGGUAGAAGUGCGAGCUUGUGAGAGUGUAUAAUGGUCUUGGCUCACAGAGAAAUCCAGAGUAUACUUUUGGAAGUCCCAAAGCAUAGAGCUGAUUAAAGAAAGCCAUUGAACGCCUAACACGACAUCGCACCCGUCUAAUGGUAAAGAAAACAGAUCUGUAUGGCACUGAUAUGCACCAGGCUACAGAGAUAAUUAUGGACAAUAUCCCUGACUUAUGACCUUUCCCCCAUCGGUGAUCAUGACCUCAAAGGGUUUGGUAAGGUAACAGUGCCAACCAAGCUUCUUGAGUAACCAAGAAUCGAUAAAAUUAUGAGUGAUGCCCGAAUCGAGAAGGACUGUGACAGGUUGCUUCUCCAAGACCCCCUCAAUUUUCAUGGUUUGCACUGCAUAAUGGGUCGUAGUGCCAAAGAAAGCACAAGCACUGAGCUUCAUUCCCAACAAUGGA
RNAcentral lists this long non-coding RNA (739 nucleotides) under Malus domestica (apple). RNAcentral describes it as "long non-coding RNA (MDOM_LNC011091)". Lineage: Eukaryota; Viridiplantae; Streptophyta; Magnoliopsida; Rosales; Rosaceae. The record is from RNAcentral.